Molecule: ribosomal RNA, 492 nt
Filed under: uncultured bacterium
Lineage: Bacteria
Description: partial 16S ribosomal RNA
Rfam family: Bacterial small subunit ribosomal RNA
Source: RNAcentral
AGUGAACGCUGGCGGUAGGCCUAACACAUGCAAGUCGAACGGCAGCACAGUAAGAGCUUGCUCUUACGGGUGGCGAGUGGCGGACGGGUGUGGAAUACAUCGGAAUCUACUUUUUCGUGGGGGAUAACGUAGGGAAACUUACGCUAAUACCGCAUACGACCUACGGGUGAAAGCAGGGGAUCUUCGGACCUUGCGCGAUUGAAUGAGCCGAUGUCGGAUUAGCUAGUUGGCGGGGUAAAGGCCCACCAAGGCGACGAUCCGUAGCUGGUCUGAGAGGAUGAUCAGCCACACUGGAACUGAGACACGGUCCAGACUCCUACGGGAGGCAGCAGUGGGGAAUAUUGGACAAUGGGCGCAAGCCUGAUCCAGCCAUACCGCGUGGGUGAAGAAGGCCUUCGGGUUGUAAAGCCCUUUUGUUGGGAAAGAAAAGCAGCAGGUUAAUACCCCGCUGUUCUGACGGUACCAAAAGAAUAAGCACCGGCUAACUUCGUG